RNAcentral lists this ribosomal RNA (301 nucleotides) under uncultured bacterium. RNAcentral's name for it is "partial 16S ribosomal RNA". It matches the Rfam family "Bacterial small subunit ribosomal RNA", at positions 509 to 809 of the family's 1533-position model. The record is from RNAcentral.
CAGUCGCCGCGGUAAUACGGAGGGAGCUAGCGUUGUUCGGAAUUACUGGGCGUAAAGCGCGCGUAGGCGGUUACUCAAGUCAGAGGUGAAAGCCCGGGGCUCAACCCCGGAACUGCCUUUGAAACUAGGUGACUAGAAUCUUGGAGAGGUCAGUGGAAUUCCGAGUGUAGAGGUGAAAUUCGUAGAUAUUCGGAAGAACACCAGUGGCGAAGGCGACUGACUGGACAAGUAUUGACGCUGAGGUGCGAAAGCGUGGGGAGCAAACAGGAUUAGAUACCCCUGUAGUCCCUGUCUCUUAUAA